Vespa mandarinia (Asian giant hornet) is the source of this 1091-nucleotide long non-coding RNA. The record is from RefSeq and is a predicted model, not a curated record. Lineage: Eukaryota; Metazoa; Arthropoda; Insecta; Hymenoptera; Vespidae.
GCUGUCAGAACCGAAAAAAUCUUUUAUAAUAUCGGCAAGUGAUGUUUGGAAAUUGUAUGAAGUUCACAGUCUUGGAAGCUAUCUCAAACACGAUGAUGAUCAAGUUUAAUCCGAAUUACGGAUUCAUUAGAAACGUAUAUAGUUUUAUAGGUUUACCUCAGAUUCUACGUGAAUAUAUAUAUCUCUUUGGUGAAGUUAAUAUUUCAUUUCUUUGGAUAAAAGAAUCAUUCAAUAAUUAAAUAAAUUUAUAAUGCAAAUAGACUACCUGAACAAAAUGCUUUUGGUGAAGUCUUUCAAAACAUAGCAACGAGCACUCAGUAGCUAUUAAAAUUCUACUCUCGUAAAUAACAUCCCAAGCUAAAGAUGAUUUCAUGAUGGAAGGCUUUAUCAUGAGUAAAAUCAGACAUCCCAACAUAUUACAUUUUAUUGGAGUCUUUUUCGACAGACACCCAGGAUAUAUCGUAUUAGAAUUAUUAGCUGGUGAUGAUUUGAAAAAUUUCCUUCGUGAAGAAAGACGAAGACCGGAUCGUUCUACUACGUUAACUAUGUAUGAUUUGAUUAUCUAUGGCUACAAUGUUGCGAAUGAUUGUAAAUACGUGGAAGUGACACGUUUCAUAUAUCGUGAUAUAGCCGCAUGAAAUUUUUAUAUUCACCUACAAAGAAUCUGAUCGUAUAGGAAACAUCGCGCACUUUGAUAUAGUUAGAGAUAUCUAUAAAAAAGAUUAUUACAUGAAAGACGGUAUAAAUAUGUUAUCUAUCAAAUUGACGUCAUGAGAAAUUUUUCUAGAUGAUAUAUUUAUUACGAAAUAUGACAUCUGAUACAAAUAAUAAAUGAUGUAAUGAUUUUGAUUUGUAAGACUUUCUGUUUCCUUCUCUGGGAAAUUAUGUCUUUUGGAUACAUGCCAUAUAUUAAUCGUGCCAAUCGUGAGGUAAUGUCAAUGCUAACGGCUGGUGGGGGAAAACGCUGGUUUGGAAAAGCCACCCGUUGGCCAGAUUCAAUUUACAGAAUAAUGACGCAUUGUUGGCAUCAAUACCCGGAAGAUCGGUCUAGUUUACUACUAUCAUUGAAUCAAUCAAGAAUUGAUUAUUGU